AACGAACGCUGGCGGCAUGCCUAACACAUGCAAGUCGAACGAGACCUUCGGGUCUAGUGGCGCACGGGUGCGUAACGCGUGGGAACCUGCCCUUAGGUUCGGAAUAACUCCCCGAAGGGGGUGCUAAUACCGGAUAGUGUCUUCGGACCAAAGAUUUAUCGCCUUUGGAUGGGCCCGCGUUGGAUUAGCUAGUUGGUAGGGUAAAAGCCUACCAAGGCGACGAUCCAUAGCUGGUCUGAGAGGAUGAUCAGCCACACUGGGACUGCGACACGGCCCAGACUCCUACGGGAGGCAGCAGUGGGGAAUAUUGGACAAUGGGCGAAAGCCUGAUCCAGCAAUGCCGCGUGAGUGAUGAAGGCCUUAGGGUUGUAAAGCUCUUUUACCCGGGAUGAUAAUGACAGUACCGGGAGAAUAAGCUCCGGCUAACUCCGUG
RNAcentral lists this ribosomal RNA (433 nucleotides) under uncultured bacterium. RNAcentral describes it as "partial 16S ribosomal RNA". It matches the Rfam family "Bacterial small subunit ribosomal RNA", at positions 29 to 507 of the family's 1533-position model. The record is from RNAcentral.